Molecule: non-coding RNA, 26 nt
Filed under: Mus musculus (house mouse)
Lineage: Eukaryota; Metazoa; Chordata; Mammalia; Rodentia; Muridae
Source: RNAcentral
UACAAAAUGGGGCAUGGUGGCAUUGC